Molecule: ribosomal RNA, 637 nt
Filed under: Empecamenta sp. DA0634
Lineage: Eukaryota; Metazoa; Arthropoda; Insecta; Coleoptera; Scarabaeidae
Description: eukaryotic LSU rRNA
Rfam family: Eukaryotic large subunit ribosomal RNA
Source: RNAcentral
GGACCAAGGAGUCUAGCAUGUGCGCGAGUCAUUGGGACUCUAACUAAACCUAAAGGCGCAAUGAAAGUGAAGGUCCGCCGUGCGCGGACCGAGGGAGGAUGGACGGUCCCGAGGGACCGCCCCGCACUCCCGGGGCGUCUCGUUCUCAAUUACGAGAAGAGGCGCACCCAGAGCGUACACGCUGGGACCCGAAAGAUGGUGAACUAUGCCUGGUCAGGACGAAGUCAGGGGAAACCCUGAUGGAGGUCCGUAGCGAUUCUGACGUGCAAAUCGAUCGUCGGAACUGGGUAUAGGGGCGAAAGACUAAUCGAACCAUCUAGUAGCUGGUUCCCUCCGAAGUUUCCCUCAGGAUAGCUGGCGCUCGCUUCUCGCGAGUCUCAUUCGGUAAAGCGAAUGAUUAGAGGCAUUGGGGUCGAAACGGCCUCAACCUAUUCUCAAACUUUAAAUGGGUGAGAUCUCCGGCUUGCUUGAACUGUGAAGCCGCGAGAUAUCGGAUCAGAGUGCCAAGUGGGCCACUUUUGGUAAGCAGAACUGGCGCUGUGGGAUGAACCAAACGCCGAGUUAAAGCGCCUAAAUCGACGCUUAUGGGAUACCAUGAAAGGCGUUGGUAACUUAAGACAGCAGGACGGUGGCCAUG